Ornithorhynchus anatinus (platypus) is the source of this 724-nucleotide long non-coding RNA. RefSeq lists it as uncharacterized. Lineage: Eukaryota; Metazoa; Chordata; Mammalia; Monotremata; Ornithorhynchidae. The transcript has 3 exons. The record is from RefSeq and is a predicted model, not a curated record.
UAACUGCUGGCCCUCCAUCGCAACUCCCAAGGCCUCGCUCCCUACAAGUCCUGUGCACGCCAGGCGGGGUAUGGGGAGCAGUCUGCCCCUCGGCCUCUCUCUCUCCACUGGAACUUCUUGUCUUCCCAUCGCGACUCCUAUGACUGUUGGCUUCGUCCUCCUCGCCUGGUCUGCCACAAUGUCUCUCUGGGAUCCCACCCUAGUCCUCCUCCGUGUCACCGAGAAACCUCCAUGCCGAUCUGCCUUGCAGCUUUUUCUCUUUGUUCCAUACAAAGAAAAUAUAAAGCUGCAUCUUCUUAGAUCAUAAUCAGUGUGGCAAAAGAUUUUUGGCCUCAAGACAGGAUAUGACUUCACUGCAAAACCAGACAGAAGAGGGAGCUGAUGUAAUUAAAUAUGCUCUAUUAAAUAACAAACUGAAGGAUCUUCUGAUUUUCAGGUGUUGUGGAUACAGAAAGACAUUUUGUGUAACACAAGCUGUGAGACUUCAAUAUUUGCAAACCUGCUUGAACACCUGGUCAAUAUAUUAAUGUUAACAAACUAAAACUAAAUGUACAGUGCAAAAGGUCACAUAUCCAGGCUGAGUUUGUAAAUAUUUUAAAGCUCUCAUCAUGCAAAUAGAAGCCAUUUCUUCUAUCAGUCUUCUAAUGUUCCAAAAUGGAUCAAUAAAAUCAAUAUGCUAUAUAUCACACACUUCCUGUGUUAAAUUAAAAGACUGUAAUUGGCA